UCACGACACUUACAAUAGUAAUAAAUGAAAUGUGAAGUUAAAACACAGUAAACAGGACAUUAGUAACUGUAACUGUAGUUUUACUAUGGUAUAUUAAUAAUCAAUACAACAAUACAAUAAUCACCAAACCAGCUAUGUUUGUAUCACUGUAAUGUUAGUGUUUUUAUGUGCUUUUAUAUGACAGAUAUCACAGUAAUCAUAUGUUCUGUACCAUGCUUUUAAUACCUUUUAAUGUAAAUCCAAAAAAAAAAAAAAAUCAAAUUAAAAAUAAAUAAUAAAACAUGUAUUUUUCCAUUUUGCAGUUCUUUCAUAUCAGUUUAUAUAUAUAUAUAUAUAUAUAUAUAUAUAUAUAUUUAUUAUAUCUAAAUAUUUUGCUCACAGAUCAUUAUUAACAUUCUGUAUAUAAUUCAAUUUUAUUUACUCUCCCCUUUUUAUUAUUUUUAUUUUUAUUUUUAGCUGAAAAGACGUAAAGGCAGUCAGCCCAGUGGUGUUUCUGGAGAGGGUUUCCUUCAGAAAUGGAGAAGACAGAAAGCUGCGGAGGCAGAUAUAUGCAGCAGAUUGUUUGAGGAUAACGCUGUAGCUCCAUCAUGCACAAGGACUCACCUCGUUUACUCUUUAUCACCCACACACACAGAAAUGGUCCCUGGAUCAGUGAUUAGACUUUGCAGUGGUUUGAUUUUUGCAGAAGAUGUAACUUUGUUUUAAUUAUAAGCUCAUAAUGAAUACAUUACAGAACCAGUGAUGAAAACAAUAGUUAAAAAUAGCGCUCCAUAUUAAAAAUAUAUU
Carassius gibelio (silver crucian carp) is the source of this 786-nucleotide long non-coding RNA. RefSeq lists it as uncharacterized. The transcript has 2 exons. Lineage: Eukaryota; Metazoa; Chordata; Actinopteri; Cypriniformes; Cyprinidae. The record is from RefSeq and is a predicted model, not a curated record.